Molecule: long non-coding RNA, 591 nt
Filed under: Prunus persica (peach)
Lineage: Eukaryota; Viridiplantae; Streptophyta; Magnoliopsida; Rosales; Rosaceae
Description: long non-coding RNA (PPER_LNC003200)
Source: RNAcentral
UGGCAUGUUUCAUGUUCUUUACUUAAAGCAUAAACUUGUUCGACUGUUUUCACAUGGGUGGUUGACUUGAAACUAGAAAGUGACCAUUUUUUCUUAUAAAUUUAUUGACUAGGAAUUUUAGGAACAUUCCAAUCUUUAUAAUCCAUUUCAUUAUUAGAAUUGUAUUCUAUUUGUUCUUCAUUAACUAUCUCUAGGAGUUUACUAAUACUGGCUCUAGAACUGCUAGAGUUACAAGAGUUAGUUCUAAAUAAACGACUCAUCAAGGCUACUGGUUUUUCUUACAAAGGGUAAGAAGCAGGCUAGCUAUCCUAUAAGAGACUCAAAGGUUCCUGGGAACUAAAGGGUUCUCUCUUUCUCCGCUCAUGCAGCAUCCACUCAUGCCUCACCUGGGACUUAUUGUUUGGAAUCUAGGACUUAUUGUUUGGACCGGGAGAGAAGACUUGGUUAACAGGAAGACUCUGAAAAAGCUACAGAAUAAAAGUAAACUUCAAACACUGAGAAGAUGACCAGUGAGUUUAGACUUUGAGAAGCCGAUUUAGACUGACUCUUCAACACUUAGGGCUCUGAUACCAGAAGGGGAUCUAGAACCAG